RNAcentral lists this ribosomal RNA (467 nucleotides) under uncultured bacterium. RNAcentral's name for it is "partial 16S ribosomal RNA". It matches the Rfam family "Bacterial small subunit ribosomal RNA", at positions 28 to 507 of the family's 1533-position model. The record is from RNAcentral.
GACGAACGCUGGCGGCGUGCUUAACACAUGCAAGUCGAACGGAAAGGCCUCUUUCGGGGGGUACUCGAGUGGCGAACGGGUGAGUAACACGUGAGUAACCUGCCCUUGACUUUGGGAUAACUUCAGGAAACUGGGGCUAAUACCGGAUAGGAGCUCCUGCUGCAUGGUGGGGGUUGGAAAGUUUCGGCGGUUGGGGAUGGACUCGCGGCUUAUCAGCUUGUUGGUGGGGUAGUGGCUUACCAAGGCUUUGACGGGGAGCCGGCCUGAGAGGGUGACCGGCCACAUUGGGACUGGGAAACGGCCCAGACUCCUACGGGAGGCAGCAGGGGGGAAUAUUGCACAAUGGGUGGAAGCCUGAUGCAGCAACGCCGUGUGCGGGAUGACGGCCUUCGGGUUGUAAACCGCUUUCGCUCAUGACGAAGCUUUGUGUGACGGUAGUGGGUAAAGAAGCACCGGCUAACUACGUG